RNAcentral lists this long non-coding RNA (1061 nucleotides) under Capsella rubella. Its description in RNAcentral is "long non-coding RNA (CRUB_LNC003023)". Lineage: Eukaryota; Viridiplantae; Streptophyta; Magnoliopsida; Brassicales; Brassicaceae. The record is from RNAcentral.
ACCACCGGAUCUUAAUUUCCUCCGGCGAUCUACUCCAACCGGUGAUCAAUCGCCUUUGUUCCCACUGGUCAAUCUCCUCCCCUUUUCUCCACCAAGGUCAUUCGUUCUCCACAUGUAGAAGAUGGAGAUUCUUAUUUGCCCAUGAUACAACUGGAAUUGGAGGCUAAGUUCUGGUACCUCUGCAUGUUCUCCGGCGAAGCCAUGUAUCACCUCCGGCGAAGCCAUGUACCACCUCCGGCGAGCUUCUCUUCCAUCUCCGACGAACGUCUCCUCCACCUCCGGCGAACGUCUUUGAUCCCCACGGCCACCAAACGAAUUUGCAAAUCAAAGACAUCAUCGAUUCAUCUCUUAGCUUCCCCUAUUGUUUGGUAAGCCAUGAAUCACCACAACUUUCACCAUAAAUUAGUUAUGGAUGCGUUUUACUCUGGUGGCCUUCUCCAUCAUCUUCUCCGGAGUUCUCCUUUGAGAUCAACUUAGAGACAUGUUCUUAGUCUCUUCCAAUUAAACGUAGCUCGUGCGUCUUCCCAGGGUACCCCCUAAUCUAUUUCUCUUUCAUGUAGCAACAAUUAGAGAUUAGAUUUUCUAAAUUUCCAGAAAAAUAAAAACUCAAAGUUUCAAUUUUGAUGCCAAUUCAGGGUAAGAGCUCCAUCUCGUCUCGGGUAACUUUGGCCAUCACUUCCUCUGAAAAAAAAUUCCAGGUACAUCUAAUCUCUCUCGUCUCUCCUUGACACUUAGAAAUUAGGAUCUUCUGAAAUUUCCAGAGAUUUUUGAAGCCCUCUUAAAUUUCAACCUGAAACUGUUUCAGGUUUCUCCAACUAGCUUCUCCUCCUUUUAAGGAAUGGUUCUCCAUGAACAGAAACUUCAUCUGAAAAAAUGUAUAUCUUUCAACAUAUUUUCAGAAAACCUUAAGAGAUAUAUCCCUGAAUAACUUCCUCCUUGAGAGAUUCUUCAAUCUUACAAUAUUAUGAUUCUCUCUGAAAAUUUUUUUCGGUUUCUCCACCUGGAACUUGUAACUCCUACACAGUUCCAUUACUCAACAGGUAACACCAACUCCAAUUUUU